This 165-nucleotide small nuclear RNA is filed under the name Haemaphysalis longicornis (longhorned tick). Its description in RNAcentral is "U1 spliceosomal RNA". It matches the Rfam family "U1 spliceosomal RNA". From Rfam's summary of the family: U1 is a small nuclear RNA (snRNA) component of the spliceosome (involved in pre-mRNA splicing). Its 5' end forms complementary base pairs with the 5' splice junction, thus defining the 5' donor site of an intron. Lineage: Eukaryota; Metazoa; Arthropoda; Arachnida; Ixodida; Ixodidae. The record is from Rfam by way of RNAcentral.
AUACUUACCUGUUGCCGGGACCUCGUUGAUCAUCGGGGACGAGCCCCCAGGGCGAGGCGCGGGCAUUGCUCUGCGCUCGCGUUGACCCCUGCUACUACCCCAAACUGGGGCAGAUGGGGCACGCAAAUUGCUUAAAUCCGGUUGAACUCAACAGAGGACGCCACC